Molecule: ribosomal RNA, 492 nt
Filed under: uncultured bacterium
Lineage: Bacteria
Description: partial 16S ribosomal RNA
Rfam family: Bacterial small subunit ribosomal RNA
Source: RNAcentral
AGUGAACGCUGCCGGUAGGCCUAACACAUGCAAGUCGAACGGCAGCACAGUAAGAGCUUGCUCUUACGGGUGGCGAGUGGCGGACGGGUGAGGAAUACAUCGGAAUCUACUUUUUCGUGGGGGAUAACGUAGGGAAACUUACGCUAAUACCGCAUACGACCUACGGGUGAAAGCAGGGGAUCUUCGGACCUUGCGCGAUUGAAUGAGCCGAUGUCGGAUUAGCUAGUUGGCGGGGUAAAGGCCCACCAAGGCGACGAUCCGUAGCUGGUCUGAGAGGAUGAUCAGCCACACUGGAACUGAGACACGGUCCAGACUCCUACGGGAGGCAGCAGUGGGGAAUAUUGGACAAUGGGCGCAAGCCUGAUCCAGCCAUACCGCGUGGGUGAAGAAGGCCUUCGGGUUGUAAAGCCCUUUUGUUGGGAAAGAAAAGCAGCAGGUUAAUACCCCGCUGUUCUGACGGUACCCAAAGAAUAAGCACCGGCUAACUUCGUG